Molecule: ribosomal RNA, 468 nt
Filed under: uncultured bacterium
Lineage: Bacteria
Description: partial 16S ribosomal RNA
Rfam family: Bacterial small subunit ribosomal RNA
Source: RNAcentral
GACGAACGCUGGCGGCGUGCUUAACACAUGCAAGUCGAACGGAAAGGCCCUGCUUUUGUGGGGUGCUCGAGUGGCGAACGGGUGAGUAACACGUGAGUAACCUGCCCUUGACUUUGGGAUAACUUCAGGAAACUGGGGCUAAUACCGGAUAGGAGCUCCUGCUGCACGGUGGGGGUUGGAAAGUUUCGGCGGUUGGGGAUGGACUCGCGGCUUAUCAGCUUGUUGGUGGGGUAGUGGCUUACCAAGGCUUUGACGGGUAGCCGGCCCGAGAGGGUGACCGGCCACAUUGGGACUGAGAUACGGCCCAGACUCCUACGGGAGGCAGCAGUGGGGAAUAUUGCACAAUGGGCGGAAGCCUGAUGCAGCAACGCCGCGUGCGGGAUGACGGCCUUCGGGUUGUAAACCGCUUUCGCCUGUGACGAAGCGUGAGUGACGGUAAUGGGUAAAGAAGCACCGGCUAACUACGUG